This 548-nucleotide ribosomal RNA is filed under the name Alternaria alternata. Its description in RNAcentral is "eukaryotic LSU rRNA". The stretch from base 183 to 336 matches the Rfam family "5.8S ribosomal RNA". The record is from RNAcentral. Lineage: Eukaryota; Fungi; Ascomycota; Dothideomycetes; Pleosporales; Pleosporaceae.
CUGCGGAGGGAUCAUUACACAAAUAUGAAGGCGGGCUGGAACCUCUCGGGGUUACAGCCUUGCUGAAUUAUUCACCCUUGUCUUUUGCGUACUUCUUGUUUCCUUGGUGGGUUCGCCCACCACUAGGACAAACAUAAACCUUUUGUAAUUGCAAUCAGCGUCAGUAACAAAUUAAUAAUUACAACUUUCAACAACGGAUCUCUUGGUUCUGGCAUCGAUGAAGAACGCAGCGAAAUGCGAUAAGUAGUGUGAAUUGCAGAAUUCAGUGAAUCAUCGAAUCUUUGAACGCACAUUGCGCCCUUUGGUAUUCCAAAGGGCAUGCCUGUUCGAGCGUCAUUUGUACCCUCAAGCUUUGCUUGGUGUUGGGCGUCUUGUCUCUAGCUUUGCUGGAGACUCGCCUUAAAGUAAUUGGCAGCCGGCCUACUGGUUUCGGAGCGCAGCACAAGUCGCACUCUCUAUCAGCAAAGGUCUAGCAUCCACUAAGCCUUUUUUUCAACUUUUGACCUCGGAUCAGGUAGGGAUACCCGCUGAACUUAAGCAUAUCAUAG